AUUGAACGCUGGCGGCAGGCCUAACACAUGCAAGUCGAACGGUAACAGGAAGAAGCUUGCUUCUUUGCUGACGAGUGGCGGACGGGUGAGUAAUGUCUGGGAAACUGCCUGAUGGAGGGGGAUAACUACUGGAAACGGUAGCUAAUACCGCAUAACGUCGCAAGACCAAAGAGGGGGACCUUCGGGCCUCUUGCCAUCGGAUGUGCCCAGAUGGGAUUAGCUAGUAGGUGGGGUAACGGCUCACCUAGGCGACGAUCCCUAGCUGGUCUGAGAGGAUGACCAGCCACACUGGAACUGAGACACGGUCCAGACUCCUACGGGAGGCAGCAGUGGGGAAUAUUGCACAAUGGGCGCAAGCCUGAUGCAGCCAUGCCGCGUGUAUGAAGAAGGCUUUCGGGUUGUAAAGUACUUUCAGCGGGGAGGAAGGGAGUAAAGUUAAUACCUUUGCUCAUUGACGUUACCCGCAGAAGAAGCACCGGCUAACUCCGUG
RNAcentral lists this ribosomal RNA (490 nucleotides) under uncultured bacterium. RNAcentral describes it as "partial 16S ribosomal RNA". It matches the Rfam family "Bacterial small subunit ribosomal RNA", at positions 30 to 507 of the family's 1533-position model. The record is from RNAcentral.